RNAcentral lists this transfer RNA (90 nucleotides) under Gammaproteobacteria bacterium RIFCSPLOWO2_02_FULL_57_10. RNAcentral describes it as "tRNA-Ser". It matches the Rfam family "tRNA". Rfam says of the family: Transfer RNA (tRNA) molecules are approximately 80 nucleotides in length. RNAcentral also lists the same sequence under 3 other names. Lineage: Bacteria; Pseudomonadati; Pseudomonadota; Gammaproteobacteria. The record is from RNAcentral.
GGAGGGGUGGCAGAGCGGUUGAAUGCACCGGUCUUGAAAACCGGCGAGGAUGAAAGUCCUUCGAGAGUUCGAAUCUCUCCCCCUCCGCCA